Long non-coding RNA from Oncorhynchus kisutch (coho salmon), 342 nucleotides. RefSeq lists it as uncharacterized. The record is from RefSeq and is a predicted model, not a curated record. NCBI's taxonomy places the organism in Eukaryota, Metazoa, Chordata, Actinopteri, Salmoniformes, Salmonidae. The transcript has 3 exons.
ACUACCCUGACAUCAUCCACAUACAGAAACCAUACUACCCUGACAUCAUCCACGUACAGAAAGGUAAUGUCCUCAUACUACCCUGACAUCCUCCACGUACAGAAUAGGUAAUGUCCUCAUACUACCCUGACAUCAUCCACAUACAGAAACCAUACUACCCUGACAUCAUCCACGUACAGAAAGGUAAUGUCCUCAUACUACCCUGACAUCAUCCACGUACAGAAAGGUAAUGUCCUCACACUACCCUGACAUCAUCCACGUACAGAAAGGUAAUGUCCUCAUACUACCCUGACAUCAUCCACGGUACAGAAUAGGUAAUGUCCUCAUACUACCCUGACAUCA